This 1604-nucleotide unclassified non-coding RNA is filed under the name Gracilinea arenicola CATCC10. RNAcentral describes it as "bacterial SSU rRNA". The stretch from base 1 to 1164 matches the Rfam family "Bacterial small subunit ribosomal RNA", at positions 356 to 1533 of the family's 1533-position model. The record is from RNAcentral. Lineage: Bacteria; Bacillati; Cyanobacteriota; Cyanophyceae; Coleofasciculales; Wilmottiaceae.
GGGGAAUUUUCCGCAAUGGGCGAAAGCCUGACGGAGCAAUACCGCGUGAGGGAGGAAGGCUCUUGGGUCGUAAACCUCUUUUCUCAGGGAAGAAGAAAGUGACAGUACCUGAGGAAUCAGCCUCGGCUAACUCCGUGCCAGCAGCCGCGGUAAUACGGAGGAGGCAAGCGUUAUCCGGAAUUAUUGGGCGUAAAGCGUCCGUAGGUGGCUCUUCAAGUCUGCUGUCAAAGAGUGGGGCUUAACCCUGCAAAGGCAGUGGAAACUGAAAGGCUAGAGAGCCGUAGGGGUAGAGGGAAUUCCCGGUGUAGCGGUGAAAUGCGUAGAGAUCGGGAAGAACAUCGGUGGCGAAAGCGCUCUACUGGACGGUAUCUGACACUGAGGGACGAAAGCUAGGGGAGCGAAUGGGAUUAGAUACCCCAGUAGUCCUAGCCGUAAACGAUGGAUACUAGGCGUGGCUUGUAUCGACCCGAGCCGUGCCGGAGCUAACGCGUUAAGUAUCCCGCCUGGGGAGUACGCACGCAAGUGUGAAACUCAAAGGAAUUGACGGGGGCCCGCACAAGCGGUGGAGUAUGUGGUUUAAUUCGAUGCAACGCGAAGAACCUUACCAGGGCUUGACAUGUCCGGAAUCUUCGGGAAACCGAAGAGUGCCUUCGGGAGCCGGAACACAGGUGGUGCAUGGCUGUCGUCAGCUCGUGUCGUGAGAUGUUGGGUUAAGUCCCGCAACGAGCGCAACCCUCGUCUUUAGUUGCCAGCAUUAAGUUGGGCACUCUAGAGAGACUGCCGGUGACAAACCGGAGGAAGGUGGGGAUGACGUCAAGUCAGCAUGCCCCUUACGUCCUGGGCUACACACGUACUACAAUGCUGCGGACAAAGGGCAGCAAGCCAGCGAUGGCAAGCCAAUCCCAUAAACCGUGGCUCAGUUCAGAUCGCAGGCUGCAACUCGCCUGCGUGAAGGAGGAAUCGCUAGUAAUCGCCGGUCAGCAUACGGCGGUGAAUCCGUUCCCGGGCCUUGUACACACCGCCCGUCACACCAUGGGAGCCGGUUUGGCCCGAAGUCGUUACCCUAACCUGAAAAGGAGGGGGAUGCCGAAGGCCGGGCUGGUGACUGGGGUGAAGUCGUAACAAGGUAGCCGUACCGGAAGGUGUGGCUGGAUCACCUCCUUUUUAGGGAGACCUGCUGAAUGAUGAAUAGAUGAAUUAUUCAUCAGUUUCAGACAUCCCAAGGUCGGUCGAGGAAAAAAACGAAGGCUUUCAAACUAUUGGUCGGGUUCGGGCAUGGGCUAUUAGCUCAGGUGGUUAGAGCGCACCCCUGAUAAGGGUGAGGUCCCUGGUUCGAGUCCAGGAUGGCCCACCUAAUUGAGCAAUAAGGGGACAAGCGAGGAGCGUUAUCCAACUUGCUUGAGGCAGGAGACUUCAGCACCGGCUCGAUGGAUUCAACCCGAGAGGCUGCUGGAUGUCAACGCCAGCCAGAACCUUGAAAACUGCAUAGCAACUAGUCAGGUAGGAGUUAGGAGUCAAAAAAACUUCCUAACAACUAAUACAGACAUCAAUGUGGUCAAGCUACAAAGGGCUUAUGGUGGAUACCUAGGCACACAGAGGCGAAG